RNAcentral lists this ribosomal RNA (497 nucleotides) under uncultured bacterium. RNAcentral's name for it is "partial 16S ribosomal RNA". It matches the Rfam family "Bacterial small subunit ribosomal RNA", at positions 28 to 507 of the family's 1533-position model. The record is from RNAcentral.
GAUGAACGCUGGCGGCGUGCCUAAUACAUGCAAGUCGAGCGAACAGACGAGGAGCUUGCUCCUCUGACGUUAGCGGCGGACGGGUGAGUAACACGUGGAUAACCUACCUAUAAGACUGGGAUAACUUCGGGAAACCGGAGCUAAUACCGGAUAAUAUAUUGAACCGCAUGGUUCAAUAGUGAAAGACGGUUUUGCUGUCACUUAUAGAUGGAUCCGCGCCGCAUUAGCUAGUUGGUAAGGUAACGGCUUACCAAGGGAACGAUGCGUAGCCGACCUGAGAGGGUGAUCGGCCACACUGGAACUGAGCCACGGUCCAGACUCCUACGGGAGGCAGCAGUAGGGAAUCUUCCGCAAAGGGCGAAAGCCUGACGGAGCAACGCCGCGUGAGUGAUGAAGGUCUUCGGAUCGUAAAACUCUGUUAUUAGGGAAGAACAAAUGUGUAAGUAACUAUGCACGUCUUGACGGUACCUAAUCAGAAAGCCACGGCUAACUACGUG